UGAAGAACCAGCUGUUAGAUCCAGACAUAAAGGAUGACCAGAUCAUCAACUGGCUGCUAGAAUUCCGUUCUUCUGUCAUGUACUUGACAAAAGACUUUGAGCAACUUAUCAGUAUUAUAUUGAGAUUGCCUUGGUUGAAUAGAAGUCAAACAGUAGUGGAAGAGUAUUUGGCUUUUCUUGGUAAUCUUGUAUCAGCAUAGACUGUUUUCCUCAGACCGUGUCUCAGCAUGAUUGCUUCCCAUUUUGUGCCUCGGGCGAUGUAGAUGUUUCAGAUUCUGAUGAUGAAGAUGAUAAUCUUCCUGCAAAUUUUGACACAUAUCACAGAGCCUUGCAAAUAAUAGCAAGA
This 346-nucleotide long non-coding RNA is filed under the name Homo sapiens (human). Its description in RNAcentral is "non-protein coding lnc-NPIPB4-3:4". The record is from RNAcentral. Lineage: Eukaryota; Metazoa; Chordata; Mammalia; Primates; Hominidae.